This 955-nucleotide long non-coding RNA is filed under the name Vitis vinifera (wine grape). Its description in RNAcentral is "long non-coding RNA (VVIN_LNC001746)". The record is from RNAcentral. Lineage: Eukaryota; Viridiplantae; Streptophyta; Magnoliopsida; Vitales; Vitaceae.
ACAUCCUCUCAGGGAUAACAAAGAACAGAAAAUUCCAAAAUGUGCAAAACAGGUUAUUGUUCAAGAUCUGGUGUGUUUUAAAGGUGGAUUACAGUGAGGAGUUAGCUUGUGGUUCAUCCUCCUGGGGACUACUUUUGGGCUGAAGAUAUGGACCUUCUACCAAAUUCUUCUUCAUAUUAUCCACCUCCACCCCCUCCAACUCUUUCAACUCAACCCCAGCUCAAGAUCUCUCUCACAUGGAAGGCCUCAUACCGCUUGUUUACAGAGUCAUACUUCAGUUCAGGGCUGCCAGGCAGCCUCCUAUGGCAGAGACAUGGCUCAACGGAUCACCUCCAAAUCCAUAUGUGAGACUUCCAGGCGAUUCAGGACGCUUCCAACAGCCAGAUAUUAAACCUUUCAGGUCCUUUGGUCCUUCCUCCACCUCCUCCUUGGUUGUGUCAACAGGGAUCCAAUCCCCUCUUAUUUCCUGAUGAAAAUGGUGAAAUGGGUGUUCGACACCAUCAAGUUGUUAUACAUAUUUCUUUUUCUUCUUUUUCUCAGUUAUUAUCAAUAAGGGUGUGAGCUGCAAAAGGAGCAUCACAAACUCAGAGUGGCUAGCGCAUGAGAAUGUUGAAACCACAUAGAUGAUGAAAGUGUGUUAAGAGGCAUAAAUCAUGAUGGGAUGCCCAGAAACAAGUUUUGGGCAAAAGGAGACCAGCCACCAAUUGCCAAAAUGUAGAGAAAUGGGUGAUUGAGUGAAGCUGAGCACCCAGCUCUUUGAAUUUAGUGUGUGAAAAUGUGUUCUUGAUCGGAAGUCUAGGAGCUCCCUGAUAUUUAAUCUUUGUAUAAGUCACAUAAUGUAAAUCAAACUUGCCAGCAUAUAAUCAACCUCACUUCCAUCCAUAAAAUAGCAUUACUGCACUUUGCAGUUAUAGUAGCAGGGCAUUCUCCAUUUGUUGCUAACCUUACAGUGAUA